ACGGAAGGCAGCAGUGGGGAAUAUUGGGCAAUGGGCGCAAGCCUGACCCAGCAACGCCGCGUGAAGGAAGAAGGCUUUCGGGUUGUAAACUUCUUUUAUCAGGGACGAAGAAAGUGACGGUACCUGAUGAAUAAGCCACGGCUAACUACGUGCCAGCAGCCGCGGUAAUACGUAGGUGGCAAGCGUUGUCCGGAUUUACUGGGUGUAAAGGGCGCGUAGGCGGGAUAGCAAGUCAGGUGUGUAAUCUAUGGGCUCAACCCAUAAACUGCACUUGAAACUGUUAUUCUUGAGUGUCGGAGAGGUAGAUGGAAUUCCUAGUGUAGCGGUGAAAUGCGUAGAUAUUAGGAGGAACACCAGUGGCGAAGGCGGCUUACUGGGCUCUAACUGACGCUGAGGCACGAAAGUGUGGGUAGCAAACAGGAUUAGAUACCCUGGUA
This 437-nucleotide ribosomal RNA is filed under the name uncultured Clostridium sp. RNAcentral's name for it is "partial 16S ribosomal RNA". It matches the Rfam family "Bacterial small subunit ribosomal RNA", at positions 341 to 792 of the family's 1533-position model. The record is from RNAcentral. Lineage: Bacteria; Bacillati; Bacillota; Clostridia; Eubacteriales; Clostridiaceae.